RNAcentral lists this ribosomal RNA (207 nucleotides) under uncultured Enterobacteriaceae bacterium. Its description in RNAcentral is "partial 16S ribosomal RNA". It matches the Rfam family "Bacterial small subunit ribosomal RNA", at positions 568 to 774 of the family's 1533-position model. Lineage: Bacteria; Pseudomonadati; Pseudomonadota; Gammaproteobacteria; Enterobacterales; Enterobacteriaceae. The record is from RNAcentral.
CACGCAGGCGGUCUGUUAAGUCAGAUGUGAAAUCCCCGGGCUUAACCUGGGAACUGCAUUUGAAACUGGCAGGCUUGAGUCUUGUAGAGGGGGGUAGAAUUCCAGGUGUAGCGGUGAAAUGCGUAGAGAUCUGGAGGAAUACCGGUGGCGAAGGCGGCCCCCUGGACAAAGACUGACGCUCAGGUGCGAAAGCGUGGGGAGCAAACA